GACGAACGCUGGCGGCAUGCCUAAUACAUGCAAGUCGAGCGAACAGAUGAAGUGCUUGCACUUCUGACGUUAGCGGCGAACGGGUGAGUAACACGUAAGGAAUCUACCUAUAAGCGGGGAUAACAUUCGGAAACGGGUGCUAAUACCGCAUAAUAUCUUCUUCCGCAUGGAAGAAGAUUGAAAGACGGCUCUGCUGUCAUUUAUAGAUGACCUUGCGGUGCAUUAGUUAGUUGGUGGGGUAAUGGCCUACCAAGACGAUGAUGCAUAGCCGACCUGGGAGGGUGGUCGGCGACAUUGGGACUGCGACACGGCCCAAACUCCUACGGGAGACAGCAGUAGGGAAACUUCCGCAAUGGGCGAAAGCCUGACGGGGCAAUGCCGCGUGAGUGAAGAAGGCCUUCGGGUCGUAAAACUCUGUUAUAAGAGAAGAACAAAUUGUAGAGUAACUGCUACAGUCUUGACGGUAUCUUAUCAGAAAGCCACGGCUAACUACGUGCCAGCCGCCGCAGUAA
Molecule: ribosomal RNA, 512 nt
Filed under: uncultured bacterium
Lineage: Bacteria
Description: partial 16S ribosomal RNA
Rfam family: Bacterial small subunit ribosomal RNA
Source: RNAcentral